Molecule: long non-coding RNA, 661 nt
Organism: Oncorhynchus tshawytscha (Chinook salmon)
Lineage: Eukaryota; Metazoa; Chordata; Actinopteri; Salmoniformes; Salmonidae
Source: Ensembl
GUGGAGGUGCUGAUGAGGUUAAGGGUUUAGGGGGACAUGAUGAGUGGAGGUGAUGAUGAGGUAAAGGGUUUAGGGGGACAGGAUGAGUGGAGGUGAUGAUGAGGUAAAGGGUUUAGGGGGACAGGAUGAGUGGAGGUGAUGAUGAGGUACAGGGUUUAGAGGGACAGGAUGAGUGGAGGUGAUGAUGAGGUGAGGGGUUUAGGGGGACAGGAUGAGUGGAGGUGAUGAUGAGGUACAGGGUUUAGAGGGACAGGAUGAGUGGAGGUGAUGAUGAGGUAAAGGGUUUAGGGGGACAGGAUGAGUGGAGGUGAUGAUGAGAUAAAGGGUUUAGGGGACAGGAUGAGUGGAGGUGAUGAUGAGGUUAAGGGUUUAGGGGGACAGGAUGAGUGGAGGUGAUGAUGAGGUAAAGGGUUUAGGGGGACAGGAUGAGUGGAGGUGAUGAUGAGGUUUAGGGGGAGAGGAUGAGUGGAGGUGAUGAUGGGAUAAAGGGUUUAGGGGGACAGGAUGAGUGGAGGUGAUGAUGAGGUUUAGGGGGACAGGAUGAGUGGAGGUGAUGAUGAGGUUAAGGGUUUAGGGGGAUGAGUGGAGGUGAUGAUGAGGUUAAGGGUUUAGGGGGACAUGAUGAGUGGAGGUGAUGAUGAGGUUAAGGGUUUAGGGGGAC